CUGCAGAGAGUUAUCCCUCUCUGAGCUGCCGUGCUCUCUGAGGGAGUCGCUCUGCUACAUGAAUCUCU
This is a small nucleolar RNA of Poecilia mexicana, 68 nucleotides long. Lineage: Eukaryota; Metazoa; Chordata; Actinopteri; Cyprinodontiformes; Poeciliidae. The record is from Ensembl.